This 107-nucleotide small nuclear RNA is filed under the name Octodon degus (degu). Lineage: Eukaryota; Metazoa; Chordata; Mammalia; Rodentia; Octodontidae. The record is from RNAcentral.
GUGCUUGCUUUGGCAGCACAUAUACUAAAAUUGGAACGAUACAGAGAAGAUUCGCAUGGCCCCUGUGCAAGGAUGAAACGCAACUUCAUGAAGUGUUCCAUAUUUUU